Molecule: non-coding RNA, 30 nt
Filed under: Homo sapiens (human)
Lineage: Eukaryota; Metazoa; Chordata; Mammalia; Primates; Hominidae
Source: RNAcentral
UGUUUGGCAAGACCGAUGUGGUGCAAAUCC